CAUAGUCUCUGGAUAUAGACCCGAAACCGAGUGAUCUAGCCAUGGGCAGGUUGAAGGUUGAGUAACAUCAACUGGAGGACCGAACCGACUAAUGUUGAAAAAUUAGCGGAUGACUUGUGGCUAGGGGUGAAAGGCCAAUCAAACUCGGAGAUAGCUGGUUCUCCCCGAAAGCUAUUUAGGUAGCGCCUCGGACGAAUACUACUGGGGGUAGAGCACUGUUAAGGCUAGGGGGUCAUCCCGACUUACCAACCCUUUGCAAACUCCGAAUACCAGUAAGUACUAUCCGGGAGACACACGGCGGGUGCUAACGUCCGUCGUGGAGAGGGAAACAACCCAGACCGCCAGCUAAGGUCCCAAAUUACAGCUAAGUGGGAAACGAUGUGGGAAGGCUUAGACAGCUAGGAUGUUGGCUUAGAAGCAGCCAUCAUUUAAAGAAAGCGUAAUAGCUCACUAGUCGAGUCGGCCUGCGCGGAAGAUGUAACGGGGCUAAGUUGUAAACCGAAGCUGCGGCAAUGUUCUAUGAACAUUGGGUAGGGGAGCGUUCUGUAAGCCGUUGAAGGUGUGUUGUAAAGCAUGCUGGAGGUAUCAGAAGUGCGAAUGCUGACAUGAGUAACGACAAGGGGGGUGAAAAACCUCCCCGCCGGAAGACCAAGGGUUCCUGUCCAACGUUAAUCGGGGCAGGGUAAGUCGACCCCUAAGGCGAGGCUGAAAAGCGUAGUCGAUGGGAAACGGGUUAAUAUUCCCGUACUUCUUACAAUUGCGAUGGGGGGACGGAGAAGGCUAGGUGGGCCUGGCGACGGUUGUCCAGGUUCAAGUGCGUAGGCUGAGUGUUUAGGUAAAUCCGGACACUCUUAAGGCUGAGACACGACGUCGAGCUACUACGGUAGUGAAGUCAUUGAUGCCAUGCUUCCAGGAAAAGCCUCUAAGCUUCAGAUUGUAAGGAAUCGUACCCCAAACCGACACAGGUGGUCGGGUAGAGAAUACCAAGGCGCUUGAGAGAACUCGGGUGAAGGAACUAGGCAAAAUGGUACCGUAACUUCGGGAGAAGGUACGCUCUUGAUGGUGAAGUCCCUUGCGGAUGGAGCUGACGAGAGUCGCAGAUACCAGGUGGCUGCAACUGUUUAUUAAAAACACAGCACUGUGCAAAAUCGUAAGAUGACGUAUACGGUGUGACGCCUGCCCGGUGCCGGAAGGUUAAUUGAUGGGGUUAGCGCAAGCGAAGCUCUUGAUCGAAGCCCCGGUAAACGGCGGCCGUAACUAUAACGGUCCUAAGGUAGCGAAAUUCCUUGUCGGGUAAGUUCCGACCUGCACGAAUGGCGUAAUGAUGGCCACGCUGUCUCCACCCGAGACUCAGUGAAAUUGAAAUCGCUGUGAAGAUGCAGUGUACCCGCGGCUAGACGGAAAGACCCCGUGAACCUUUACUACAGCUUGGCACUGAACAUUGAACCUACAUGUGUAGGAUAGGUGGGAGGCUUUGAAGACGUGACGCCAGUUGCGUUGGAGCCGUCCUUGAAAUACCACCCUUGUAUGUUUGAUGUUCUAACGUUGGCCCCUAAUCGGGGUUGCGGACAGUGCCUGGUGGGUAGUUUGACUGGGGCGGUCUCCUCCCAAAGAGUAACGGAGGAGCACGAAGGUGGGCUAAUCACGGUUGGACAUCGUGAGGUUAGUGCAAUGGCAUAAGCCCGCUUAACUGCGAGAAUGACGGUUCGAGCAGGUGCGAAAGCAGGUCAUAGUGAUCCGGUGGUUCUGAAUGGAAGGGCCAUCGCUCAACGGAUAAAAGGUACUCCGGGGAUAACAGGCUGAUACCGCCCAAGAGUUCAUAUCGACGGCGGUGUUUGGCACCUCGAUGUCGGCUCAUCACAUCCUGGGGCUGAAGUCGGUCCCAAGGGUAUGGCUGUUCGCCAUUUAAAGUGGUACGCGAGCUGGGUUUAGAACGUCGUGAGACAGUUCGGUCCCUAUCUGCCGUGGGCGUUGGAAGAUUGAAGGGGGCUGCUCCUAGUACGAGAGGACCGGAGUGGACGAACCUCUGGUGUUCGGGUUGUGUCGCCAGACGCAUUGCCCGGUAGCUAAGUUCGGAAUCGAUAACCGCUGAAAGCAUCUAAGCGGGAAGCGAGCCCUGAGAUGAGUCUUCCCUGAUACUUUAAGUAUCCUAAAGGGUUGUUCGAGACUAGAACGUUGAUAGGCAGGGUGUGUAAGCGCUGUGAGGCGUUGAGCUAACCUGUACUAAUUGCCCGUGAGGCUUAACCAUACAACACCCAAAGGGUUUUG
Molecule: ribosomal RNA, 2268 nt
Filed under: Vibrio vulnificus
Lineage: Bacteria; Pseudomonadati; Pseudomonadota; Gammaproteobacteria; Vibrionales; Vibrionaceae
Description: partial 23S ribosomal RNA
Rfam family: Bacterial large subunit ribosomal RNA
Source: RNAcentral